GGCUAAACCAUGCACCGAAGCUGCGGCAGCGACACUGUGUGUUGUUGGGUAGGGGAGCGUUCUGUAAGCCUGUGAAGGUGGCCUGUGAGGGUUGCUGGAGGUAUCAGAAGUGCGAAUGCUGACAUAAGUAACGAUAAAGCGGGUGAAAAGCCCGCUCGCCGGAAGACCAAGGGUUCCUGUCCAACGUUAAUCGGGGCAGGGUGAGUCGACCCCUAAGGCGAGGCCGAAAGGCGUAGUCGAUGGGAAACGGGUUAAUAUUCCCGUACUUGGUGUUACUGCGAAGGGGGGACGGAGAAGGCUAUGUUGGCCGGGCGACGGUUGUCCCGGUUUAAGCGUGUAGGCUGGUUUUCCAGGCAAAUCCGGAAAAUCAAGGCUGAGGCGUGACGACGAGGCACUACGGUGCUGAAGCAACAAAUGCCCUGCUUCCAGGAAAAGCCUCUAAGCAUCAGGUAACACGAAAUCGUACCCCAAACCGACACAGGUGGUCAGGUAGAGAAUACCAAGGCGCUUGAGAGAACUCGGGUGAAGGAACUAGGCAAAAUGGUGCCGUAACUUCGGGAGAAGGCACGCUGACACGUAGGUGAAGUGAUUUACUCAUGGAGCUGAAGUCAGUCGAAGAUACCAGCUGGCUGCAACUGUUUAUUAAAAACACAGCACUGUGCAAACACGAAAGUGGACGUAUACGGUGUGACGCCUGCCCGGUGCCGGAAGGUUAAUUGAUGGGGUCAGCGCAAGCGAAGCUCCUGAUCGAAGCCCCGGUAAACGGCGGCCGUAACUAUAACGGUCCUAAGGUAGCGAAAUUCCUUGUCGGGUAAGUUCCGACCUGCACGAAUGGCGUAAUGAUGGCCAGGCUGUCUCCACCCGAGACUCAGUGAAAUUGAACUCGCUGUGAAGAUGCAGUGUACCCGCGGCAAGACGGAAAGACCCCGUGAACCUUUACUAUAGCUUGACACUGAACAUUGAGCCUUGAUGUGUAGGAUAGGUGGGAGGCUUUGAAGUGUGGACGCCAGUCUGCAUGGAGCCGACCUUGAAAUACCACCCUUUAAUGUUUGAUGUUCUAACGUGGACCCGUAAUCCGGGUUGCGGACAGUGUCUGGUGGGUAGUUUGACUGGGGCGGUCUCCUCCUAAAGAGUAACGGAGGAGCACGAAGGUUGGCUAAUCCUGGUCGGACAUCAGGAGGUUAGUGCAAUGGCAUAAGCCAGCUUGACUGCGAGCGUGACGGCGCGAGCAGGUGCGAAAGCAGGUCAUAGUGAUCCGGUGGUUCUGAAUGGAAGGGCCAUCGCUCAACGGAUAAAAGGUACUCCGGGGAUAACAGGCUGAUACCGCCCAAGAGUUCAUAUCGACGGCGGUGUUUGGCACCUCGAUGUCGGCUCAUCACAUCCUGGGGCUGAAGUAGGUCCCAAGGGUAUGGCUGUUCGCCAUUUAAAGUGGUACGCGAGCUGGGUUUAGAACGUCGUGAGACAGUUCGGUCCCUAUCUGCCGUGGGCGCUGGAGAACUGAGGGGGGCUGCUCCUAGUACGAGAGGACCGGAGUGGACGCAUCACUGGUGUUCGGGUUGUCAUGCCAAUGGCACUGCCCGGUAGCUAAAUGCGGAAGAGAUAAGUGCUGAAAGCAUCUAAGCACGAAACUUGCCCCGAGAUGAGUUCUCCCUGAGACUUAGAGUCUCCUGAAGGAACGUUGAAGACGACGACGUUGAUAGGCCGGGUGUGUAAGCGCAGCGAUGCGUUGAGCUAACCGGUACUAAUGAACCGUGAGGCUUAACCUUACAACGCCAAAG
RNAcentral lists this ribosomal RNA (1778 nucleotides) under Salmonella enterica subsp. enterica serovar Senftenberg. RNAcentral's name for it is "partial 23S ribosomal RNA". It matches the Rfam family "Bacterial large subunit ribosomal RNA", at positions 1179 to 2925 of the family's 2925-position model. Lineage: Bacteria; Pseudomonadati; Pseudomonadota; Gammaproteobacteria; Enterobacterales; Enterobacteriaceae. The record is from RNAcentral.